This 448-nucleotide ribosomal RNA is filed under the name Cryobacterium sp. Its description in RNAcentral is "bacterial SSU rRNA". It matches the Rfam family "Bacterial small subunit ribosomal RNA", at positions 37 to 470 of the family's 1533-position model. The record is from RNAcentral. Lineage: Bacteria; Bacillati; Actinomycetota; Actinomycetes; Micrococcales; Microbacteriaceae.
UCCUCUUCUACGACUUUGGGGGGUGGCUUACACAUGCAAGUCGAACGAUGAGAGGGAGCUUGCUCCCUGGAUUAGUGGCGAACGGGUGAGUAACACGUGAGUAACCUGCCCUUGACUCUGGGAUAAGCACUGGAAACGGUGUCUAAUACCGGAUACGAACUUCAGCCGCAUGGCUAGGAGUUGGAAAGAAUUUCGGUCAAGGAUGGACUCGCGGCCUAUCAGCUAGUUGGUGAGGUAAUGGCCCACCAAGGCGACGACGGGUAGCCGGCCUGAGAGGGUGACCGGCCACACUGGGACUGAGACACGGCCCACACUCCUACGGGAGGCAGCAGUGGGGAAUAUUGCUCAAUGGGCGCAAGCCUGAUGCAGCAACGCCGCGUGAGGGACGACGGCCUUCGGGUUGUAAACCUCUUUUAUUAGGGAAGAAGCACAGUGUUUCACAUGGAGU